UGCGGCGCAGAGGAGCGGAGUCCUCGCCAGAGUCAUGAUCUGGAGACCGCGGGUUCGAGUCCCGCCGCCGCCA
RNAcentral lists this transfer RNA (73 nucleotides) under Algisphaera agarilytica. It matches the Rfam family "tRNA". From Rfam's summary of the family: Transfer RNA (tRNA) molecules are approximately 80 nucleotides in length. Their secondary structure includes four short double-helical elements and three loops (D, anti-codon, and T loops). Further hydrogen bonds mediate the characteristic L-shaped molecular structure. tRNAs have two regions of fundamental functional importance: the anti-codon, which is responsible for specific mRNA codon recognition, and the 3' end, to which the tRNAs corresponding amino acid is attached (by aminoacyl-tRNA synthetases). tRNAs cope with the degeneracy of the genetic code in two manners: having more than one tRNA (with a specific anti-codon) for a particular amino acid; and 'wobble' base-pairing, i.e. permitting non-standard base-pairing at the 3rd anti-codon position. The record is from Rfam by way of RNAcentral. Lineage: Bacteria; Pseudomonadati; Planctomycetota; Phycisphaerae; Phycisphaerales; Phycisphaeraceae.